Molecule: signal recognition particle RNA, 96 nt
Filed under: Pedosphaera sp.
Lineage: Bacteria; Pseudomonadati; Verrucomicrobiota; Pedosphaerae; Pedosphaerales; Pedosphaeraceae
Description: signal recognition particle sRNA small type
Rfam family: Bacterial small signal recognition particle RNA
About the family: The signal recognition particle (SRP) is a universally conserved ribonucleoprotein involved in the co-translational targeting of proteins to membranes. Archaeal SRP consists of a 7S RNA and homologues of the eukaryotic SRP19 and SRP54 proteins. In most bacteria, the SRP consists of a 4.5S RNA and the Ffh protein (a homologue of the eukaryotic SRP54 protein).
Source: RNAcentral
UGUCAGGGCCCAUGGAGUGCGGGCUUGUGAACCCCGCCAGAGCCGGAAGGCAGCAACGGCAGCAUGCCCCGUAUCGCCGUGGUAGCCCUGGCUUUU